Long non-coding RNA from Helianthus annuus (common sunflower), 1450 nucleotides. RefSeq lists it as uncharacterized. The transcript has 4 exons. The record is from RefSeq and is a predicted model, not a curated record. Lineage: Eukaryota; Viridiplantae; Streptophyta; Magnoliopsida; Asterales; Asteraceae.
ACAAAAGUGAAAAUAAGCGUGACAAAUCUCUAUCUCUAUACCUAAUAAAAGAACAAGGUUGGGCCACGUGUCAUCACCACAAGCAACCACCUUUGUCUCUCUCUUAUGUGUCAAUCCCAGCUUUCUUCAAGUCUACGUGUCCAUUCCUCCAUUUUUUCAGUUAUUAUUAUUUUUUUUUAAAACAAUUGGUAAAGAUGAAAGAUCAUUAUGAGGGCAGACAAAAAGACAAAUCUCUGAAUCAAAAGGAGUCUGCAAAAGUCUCUUCACAUGAAUUCAAAAUUCAAAUCUCUGAAAACUCCUUCACAUCAUCCAAGAAUUCAAAAUUUAAAACCCUCACUCUCUUCACACCAAAAUCAACUCACAUAAUCCCCACUCUCUUCACACCCAUUCACAUCAUAAUCUCAUCUGGGUUUUGAGAUUAAAACAACAUGUACGGAAGAGAUCCGUGGGGCGGGCCGUUGGAGAUCAACAACGCGAAUUCAGCCCCCGAUGACGACCGGAGCCGGAAUCUGAACGAUUUCGAUAAGGCAGGGCUGUCUCUUUGUAAGUACGAUCGUAACCCUAGCUUGCAUAUACACAUGUUUCCAUCGGUUACAUAUCUCAAUUAUUAGCUUGCAUAUACACAUGUUUCCAUCGUAACCCUAGCUUGCAUAUACACAUGUUUCCAUGGGUCCUCUUUCUCUCUCUUCAUACCCAUCAUGAACUCAUUCUUUUCUUGAAAAAGAAAAAAAGAAAAAUUGUUUCUUGUACGAGAUCGAUCAUCUGAACACACAAAUGGCUGAUGAUAAGAGAGCCAAGGGAGUUUGGUUUUGUGUAGUUACAGAGGCAGAUACUAAAAAAUGCACGCAUGUUGAAAGCAGGGUAGAAGCAUGGUGACUUAUGGUGUUAUGGCUAGAAGCCAAUAACUGUGUCAACAUCAGCCUCCGUAUUUAAACCCAUAAUCAAGACAAUAAUGGGUUAUUUCUGGUCUGAUCAAGAUGCGGCCUUUGACUUGCCUUGAAGGCCUAUCUAAGCGAGGUAAAGGGAUGUACCAAGUGGUCUCUGCGAUUGCUGUUGUCACAAGUUUUACAUUGUUGCUAAAUGGUGAAGCAAAAUUUAUCCAUAACACAUAUUAGUAUGCAGCAGGAUAUAAUAGGUUCAGGUGGAACAACAGGGCAGUCUCAAAGGUUAAUCUUUCUUGUUUGGAGGGUGAUAGUUGCUUGGCUUGGAGAAAUCUGCCUCUAGAGGCGCUGGCUAAACAAGGCUUUUGUCCACCUAAUGGUUAACCAUCGCAACGUGCGGGCAUCCCCAUAUAUUAACAUUUGGGGAAAUAUAUGAAGUUUCAUAAUCAAGUUUAUUGUUCUAUUGAAUUUAGGUCUAAGUUUAAACAUAUACAAAAUCAUAUUUAAUACUACUUCCGUCCCAUUAACAAUAUAAAUUAAUUUUUCCUGCCCGGGAAGUUCCCGGGUUA